This 84-nucleotide transfer RNA is filed under the name bacterium. Its description in RNAcentral is "tRNA-Leu". It matches the Rfam family "tRNA". From Rfam's summary of the family: Transfer RNA (tRNA) molecules are approximately 80 nucleotides in length. Their secondary structure includes four short double-helical elements and three loops (D, anti-codon, and T loops). The record is from RNAcentral.
GCCGGGAUGGCGGAAUUGGCAGACGCGUGGGAUUCAGGAUCCCAUGCCUUAAAGGGCGUACGGGUUCAAGUCCCGUUCCCGGCA